CCUACGGUAGCUCGGUUGGUAGAGCGAGGGACUGUAGAUCCCUAGGUCACUGGUUCAAAUCCGGUUCGAAGGA
Non-coding RNA from Dendronephthya gigantea, 73 nucleotides. Lineage: Eukaryota; Metazoa; Cnidaria; Anthozoa; Malacalcyonacea; Nephtheidae. The record is from the annotation of a RefSeq genome assembly.